GACGAACGCUGGCGGCGUGCCUAAUACAUGCAAGUUGAGCGCUGAAGGUUGGUACUUGUACCCACUGGAUGAGCAGCGAACGGGUGAGUAACGCGUGGGGAAUCUGCCUUUGAGCGGGGGACAACAUUUGGAAACGAAUGCUAAUACCGCAUAAAAGCUUUAAACACAAGUUUUAAGUUUGAAAGAUGCAAUUGCAUCACUCAAAGAUGAUCCCGCGUUGUAUUAGCUAGUUGGUGAGGUAAAGGCUCACCAAGGCGAUGAUACAUAGCCGACCUGAGAGGGUGAUCGGCCACAUUGGGACUGAGACACGGCCCAAACUCCUACGGGAGGCAGCAGUAGGGAAUCUUCGGCAAUGGACGAAAGUCUGACCGAGCAACGCCGCGUGAGUGAAGAAGGGUUUCGGAUCGUAAAACUCUGUUGGUAGAGAAGAACGUUGGUGAGAGUGGAAAGCUCAUCAAGUGACGGUAACUACCCAGAAAGGGACGGCUAACUACGUG
RNAcentral lists this ribosomal RNA (497 nucleotides) under uncultured bacterium. RNAcentral's name for it is "partial 16S ribosomal RNA". It matches the Rfam family "Bacterial small subunit ribosomal RNA", at positions 28 to 507 of the family's 1533-position model. The record is from RNAcentral.